AAAUAAGAAGCAAUUUUGCAUUUAAUUUCGACCUAAAAGAUGAGUAUAAAAUACUCCUUAUUUA
This 64-nucleotide transfer RNA is filed under the name Glanycus foochowensis. RNAcentral describes it as "tRNA-Arg". The record is from RNAcentral. Lineage: Eukaryota; Metazoa; Arthropoda; Insecta; Lepidoptera; Thyrididae.